Grammomys surdaster is the source of this 292-nucleotide long non-coding RNA. RefSeq lists it as uncharacterized. The record is from RefSeq and is a predicted model, not a curated record. The transcript has 2 exons. NCBI's taxonomy places the organism in Eukaryota, Metazoa, Chordata, Mammalia, Rodentia, Muridae.
GUGAGGUCUUAGCCAUUAGCUGCCAUGCCUGCUGCUUGCUGCCAUGCUGUCCCACCACAAAGGACUCUUAGUCUCUGGAACCAAAAGGUCUCUCAGAACUUUUGCAGAUGGCAAACAUCAAAAGGACCAGAGAUUUUUUAUAGUGAUUCAGCUGCCCACGGCAAUGCAGUCAACCUUGAUUUUUCUUUCAGCCUGGGAAGUGAUCAGCGGAAAAGCUCAACAAACAGCUUUAACAUCUGAGGCCAAAAAAGAAGCAUAAAAAUUUACUUUCAUAAACACCUCUGGGGAAGGU